GUCCCUGUAACGCAAUGAAUUACGCGUUGGACUUCUAAUCCAAAUGUCAUGGUUUCAAAUCCCAACUGGGAUG
This 73-nucleotide transfer RNA is filed under the name Trichonephila inaurata madagascariensis. It matches the Rfam family "tRNA". From Rfam's summary of the family: Transfer RNA (tRNA) molecules are approximately 80 nucleotides in length. Their secondary structure includes four short double-helical elements and three loops (D, anti-codon, and T loops). The record is from Rfam by way of RNAcentral. Lineage: Eukaryota; Metazoa; Arthropoda; Arachnida; Araneae; Nephilidae.